UUUCCGUAGGUGAACCUGCGGAAGGAUCAUUAUUGUAUAACCGAGGUGCGAGGGCUGUCGCUCACCCGAAAGGUCGUGCACGCCCGAGUGCCCUCACACACAUACAUCUCACCCCUAUGUGCACCACCGCGUGGGUACCCCUUUGGCUUGUUAGGAGGGGGGCCUACGUGUUCGAACAAACUUUGUAUGCAGUGUAGAAUGUAUUUUUUGUUUUUGCGAUCACGCAAUCAAUACAACUUUCAACAACGGAUCUCUUGGCUCUC
This 263-nucleotide unclassified non-coding RNA is filed under the name plant metagenome. RNAcentral describes it as "partial contains small subunit ribosomal RNA, internal transcribed spacer 1, and 5.8S ribosomal RNA". The record is from RNAcentral.